CCUACGGGAGGCAGCAGUGAGGAAUAUUGGUCAAUGGACGAGAGUCUGAACCAGCCAAGUAGCGUGUAGGAUGACUGCCCUAUGGGUUGUAAACUUCUUUUAUAUGGGAAUAAAAUGUUCCACGUGUGGGUUUUUGUAUGUACCAUAUGCAUAAGGAUCGGCUAACUCCGUUCCAGCAGCCGCGGGAAUACGGAGGAUCCGAGCGUUAUCCGGAUUUAUUGGGUUUAAAGGGAGCGUAGGUGGAUUGUUAAGUCAGUUGUGAAAGUUUGCGGCUCAACCGUAAAAUUGCAGUUGAUACUGGCAGUCUUGAGUACAGUAGAGGGGGGCGGAAUUCGUGGUGUAGCGGUGAAAUGCUUAGAGAUCACGAAGAACUCCGAUUGCGAAGGCAGCUCACUGGACUGCAACUGACACUGAGGCUCGAAAGUGUGGGUAUCAAACAGGAUUAGAUACCCUAGUAGUC
This 460-nucleotide ribosomal RNA is filed under the name uncultured bacterium. RNAcentral's name for it is "partial 16S ribosomal RNA". It matches the Rfam family "Bacterial small subunit ribosomal RNA", at positions 338 to 795 of the family's 1533-position model. The record is from RNAcentral.